RNAcentral lists this long non-coding RNA (2149 nucleotides) under Zea mays. RNAcentral describes it as "long non-coding RNA (ZMAY_LNC001624)". Lineage: Eukaryota; Viridiplantae; Streptophyta; Magnoliopsida; Poales; Poaceae. The record is from RNAcentral.
ACUCCUUGGCCGCCACCCUCCCCUGCCCAUCUCCUCCUCUCUCAAUUCUUGCAGCCACACCACCAUACCCUAGCCGCCCCCCCCCCCAAUCUCCUCCUCCCAAGGUGCCAACCCUUGCCGCUCGGAUCAUCGUCACGUGGUGCGAGUCUUCAAUCGUUUUGGUGGAGGGAAGAAGGGAGGAAGGAAAGGGGGAGAAUUCAAGGUGAUUUUUGUGUUCAUCCCUUGUUCAUUUGCGCUGCGAUUCAAUUGAUUGGAUGUUGCGUUUGCGAUUGGGUAGAGGGGGCUGUCCAGAAUUUUAGGUGGUGGAUGAACAGCGGAAGUUCUAGCAGUUUCUAGGUUUUUUUCGUGAAAAUUUAAUGGGGAUCAAUGUGGGGAUCAUGUAGAACUUUGUUUUACCUUUCCAACGAGUAUUUAUGCGCUCAAUUUGGAGUUAUAAAUUAAAAGUUAUCAUCGUUUGAAUCCGGGUAUGUGGCUGUCCAAAAACAGAUUUUCAGGAGGAUGAACAGCAGCAGUAUUAGCAGUUUCUGGGGUUUUUUCGGGAGUAAUUAGUGUUAAUCAGUAUGAGAUUCAUGUAGGGUUUUUUCUUAUCUUUCCAACAAGUACUUAUGCGCUCGAAUCGGAAUUAUAUUUUAAAAGUUAUCGCUGUUUGAAUCCGAGUAUGUCGCUGCCCAAAACAGAAAAAAACAGAUUUGCAGGGUUUAUUUUGUGGACCGUUUAGAGGUAAUUAGAUGUUAGAAUUUAAUCAUAAAUUGUAUACAAAACUUGUGGGGAAUUUUAUGUAGUUGUCUCUGGAGUUUUUGUUUUACACCACUGCUGUCUUAAUUUUUAAGUUAUGGAAUUGUUAAGCAGCGCCGCUGCAGUUUGGUUGGUGAUGGGAGAAUUGUUACCCGCGGCGGGGUUUGAGAUUGCGCGUAGGUGCGGUGUUGUCUUUGAGGUUUUUUUAUGUGAAUUUGGUGCACUAAGUUGGGUGUCAAAAACAGGUGGUGGACUUCCGGAUCGUUCUUAGGGAUUUUGCCCAAACUUCCGGUGAAGACAAGUAAAACUGUGAUGGUUAUUCCGUCUGUUAGAUGAGGUGUCUUAUACUUGAUUAUGCUGUGCUAUUGUGUUCAUAUUCAUAUUUUCUUUUGAGUACCAUCAUUUGAAAAUGUUCAUGUUUCAUGGAUUUCAUAUGUUGAGUUUGAGGUUUGAUUAUGUUACUCAAGUGGUUAUUAUGUGGAAUGGGUGGAAGUAAAUGUCUAGCACAUUUUUAUUUGGGAAGAACACAUGAUGUUGUCAUGCAUAAUGCACUCAUCAUCCAUUGCAUUGAAGUUUCGUCGCGAUCUUAUGGUCCGACCGUACCGGUACAUGGAGCAUCAUAUGUUGCCCGAGAAGGGGUAUGGUGCAGCUUCAUAUCCUUAGAGAUAUGGAGGCAGAAGUCAUUAUUGCAUUUGUAGCCAUGUGCAUUCAUGGGAGAGGUGUGGAAACUAUUAUGUGGAUGGGGAUAAUUUGGACUUAUGCAUGGUGAUUCUACUUGGCGUUGAGUUUUUAGUUACUUGUUUGCUUGCUGCAAUUUACUGUUCAAAAGAAAGAAAAGAAGUUCUGAACCACGUGGUUGUGUAAGCACAGUUGAUUUACAAUGUCCUAUUUAUUGUUGUUAUGUUUACUUGCUGAUAUGUGUUAUCUCACAUCUUGCAUUGUUUGAUGCAGGCACCUAAUUUCUGCUUUUGGGAAUAGAGGGAUGUAGCAGCACGGCCACUUCACCUUUAAAUAAAGGAACCACCACUUAAUACUGUUGUUAAUCAGAGUUGGUCAAGUCUAGUGUAUUACUUUGUUCUUGGUUGAGCGUUUGUUUUGGGGUGGGCUGAGUUCCUUAUCCUAUUUGUUUUGUUUCAGUUGGGUCAUAAUUAAGUUUUACCACUUUUGCAUUUUAGUUUCUACUAUGUGAAUUAUAUGUCUUUAUAUCUUGUAUGAGCUUCAUGUUUUCCCUCCUUGUUAUGCUAGUUUUCAAAGGAGGUGCUGCCGGAUUUUUGCUGUAUAUUCUUUCUUUAUUACAUCUCUUGUGUUGAGUAAGUUUGGUGGGUGGGGUUUGUGGUAUUAUCCAUUGUGUGUGACCAGUGGGGUGUUACACUGCUACAAGCGUUGGCCAACGCGCAUAGAGGAAGGGAGAGAG